This 490-nucleotide ribosomal RNA is filed under the name uncultured bacterium. Its description in RNAcentral is "partial 16S ribosomal RNA". It matches the Rfam family "Bacterial small subunit ribosomal RNA", at positions 30 to 507 of the family's 1533-position model. The record is from RNAcentral.
AUUGAACGCUGGCGGCAGGCCUAACACAUGCAAGUCGAACGGUAACAGGAAGAAGCUUGCUUCUUUGCUGACGAGUGGCGGACGGGUGAGUAAUGUCUGGGAAACUGCCUGAUGGAGGGGGAUAACUACUGGAAACGGUAGCUAAUACCGCAUAACGUCGCAAGACCAAAGAGGGGGACCUUCGGGCCUCUUGCCAUCGGAUGUGCCCAGAUGGGAUUAGCUAGUAGGUGGGGUAACGGCUCACCUAGGCGACGAUCCCUAGCUGGUCUGAGAGGAUGACGAGCCACACUGGAACUGAGACACGGUCCAGACUCCUACGGGAGGCAGCAGUGGGGAAUAUUGCACAAUGGGCGCAAGCCUGAUGCAGCCAUGCCGCGUGUAUGAAGAAGGCCUUCGGGUUGUAAAGUACUUUCAGCGGGGAGGAAGGGAGUAAAGUUAAUACCUUUGCUCAUUGACGUUACCCGCAGAAGAAGCACCGGCUAACUCCGUG